Molecule: long non-coding RNA, 3386 nt
Organism: Gorilla gorilla gorilla (western lowland gorilla)
Lineage: Eukaryota; Metazoa; Chordata; Mammalia; Primates; Hominidae
Exons: 4
Source: RefSeq, a predicted model, not a curated record
CAAAAGCGUUUGCAGCAUGGGGUCAUUUAGAUAGCUGGCAUAGAGAAAACACAAAUUCCCUCAGUGAGGUGUGCAUGGAGGUUUCUAAGGACAGUACAUUUGCAGUGAGGUACAACAUUCACACUCUUCAAAUGCAAAAUAUUUAUGUAUAUUUUUGGUGAUGGAGCUGUUCAUUUGUUCUAGUGAUAUUUACUAGCCUGGAAUGAAGAGCCCUGUUAUGUAUCAUGCUUGUCCUGUGUUAGCCAGUUUCACUCUUCCAACACCACAAAUUACAAGCUGAUACAUGGUUGGGAGUGGAUCCUUUUCCCAGCCUCUCCCCUUUGGUUCAUAACAACAGCUGCUGGUGAUCGAGCUAUGGCCAGGAUUGGGGCUUGAUGCUUUAUCUUCCUCAUGAUAUGCAGUCUCACCACAAUCCUAUGAGGUAGGUGCCGGUAUUAUCCCCAUUUUGCAGAUGAGGACACUGAGGCUCAGAGAGAAAGUGACUCAUCCAGGAUUACACAGUUUAGUAAGUGGCAGGGAGAGAUGUGACUUUGGCUCCAAAGCUGAUGCUUUUAGCUAUGCUGACAUUCUGUUUUCUCUUCCUCUUGGGCUGGAAUUGUCAUUCCUGGACCAUCAGGACCUCCACAAGCACUUAAGACUUUAGAGAGGUCUCCAUCAACCAUCCCCUGCCCCUGCAGAUGUGCAAACUGAGGCUCAGAGAGGGCAAAGGAGUUGCCUGUGGUGCCUCAGCAAGUGGAAAACCCAGCUCUUCAUCCAGGUCAUGGCUUGUUUCAGAACCUGGGGCUAAGCUGUCCAGGAAGGUCAUGCUGCUUGUACCUGAAGAAGACAGCCUGACCCUGGCCCAGUCCCUCUGCCCACCGAUCUCGCUCUGGCCACAAUCUGUGUGGCCUCUGGCUCUCAUUCAAGGAACCAGCAGAUAAUCAAAGUAAUACAGAGGUACCCACUCUGUGUUCUUGACUACGGGACCAGAGACUCCAAACAACACAGCAUUCCUGCUCUUAAGGAAUCUACGGUUUUCACUGCAAGUGGAUCUUCAAAGGGCAGGAACAGCAUCCGGUUUCUUUCUACAAUCCAAAAUAGGACCUGGCACACAGCCUGGUUACUGCUGGGACCCCCCGGCCAAAUGAUCACACUUUGGACCCCAAACUCUGCGCAUAACCAAGGAGAUGUUAAUCUCUGGCCAGAGCUCAGGUCUCUGCUGAAAUAUCACAGCUUGCAUUCACACCUACUGCCUAUGCCAGGCAACUCUCCUGUCUGCUACUGGCCCACUUCCCACUGACUCCAUAGCCCCUUCCCCUGACCCCAGAGGUCUUAGGUGAGCAUGGAGUAGAUGAAGAUGCUGGAUGUUAAUACGCUCACUGAGACCCAUUUCCUGGGAAGUCUUAUUUUGGGGUGCACAUCUGGCCUCCCAAUCUUUUCUUUUUCAAGCACCAACCUCUUCCUCUCCAUCUCCCAGUGCCCUUCAGAGAAAGGGGUAAAGUUGGCAAGAAGAGCCACCCGUGCAGGGCCUGUCUGAGAAGUCAGCAUCGAGGCAUGCCAAGCCACAGAGCAGUGGACACAUGAUGAUCUUUUCACCUUGUGGGGGAAGUGCCCAAUGCUCUUGGCAACUGAAGUCAAUUCGAGGUUGCUGUCAUUCAGCGGGGCUAUACCCUGCCCACCAUUCUCCAGGCACAGAGAAGCUCAGGCGACGUUGCACGGGUGAAUUGAAGGGGUAGUCCCGACACAGGCAUAGACAGGCCUGCUGACGCUUGCAUUUUAGUUUUCAUUUGGGCAGAGAGGCGAUGAAGUGGCUCUAACUGGGUUUGGCAUUGGGGCUGUGGCUGAGGAGAGGGGCUGCUGGGGCGGGGGUGGUAGUCAAGGGGAAGAUGGGCACAUUUUGGGCUAGGCAACAGGGAUGGGCUCCUAAGGACAAAGGAGAUAGACUUCAGGAUGCAGGUGGCUAAAGGUGGUGGCAAGGCUGAAUCAACGGUCAUUAACACUCUGCCUGAGACCCAUAGACAAGCAAGAGGGUGGAAAAGACAUCUCCAAAUUCCAAGUAGCAUGGAACUCUAUCUCAGCUGCUGAGCUCACAGCCAAGCCAAGGAAUGGAGUCUUUGUGUGAUGGCAAGAAGUGGCCUGAUAUUGGUGCUUUAUUUAUUUCAUGGUGCUCUCCACAUGUCAUAUGCCACCAAGGUAGAGGACCAGCCACUGCUCCAAUGGCAGGCCCACGGGAACUACCAUCCCAUCACUUCACUUUACAGAUGGAAAAACCGAGGCCCAGAGACCCACAAUAAGACAAAGUUGGCCUGGAAAUUAGAACAGUAGGGUUAAGAUCCCUGCCCUUCCUCCUCCUGGCUAUGUGACCUUGGACAAGUCACUUCCCCUCUCUGCAUCCAGUUUCAUUGCCUCUGAAGUGGGGAUUAGAAUCGUGCCUGCUCCACACGGUUCUUGUAGGAAUAAUCCCUGGCACAUUGGAAGCUUUGGGUACUCCAUUCCUUCCUUCCAACAGGAACAAGAACAUACCCAAGGUCACCUGGCCAGAAAUGGCAAUGCCCCAGCUCAAAGCAAACCCUCAUCUGGGGCUCGUUCAUUCCCGGCUAUGGACUAAGGGGCCACAUUUUAUAGCCUUCCUGGCUCAGUGAGACAGGUACAGAUUGCAGGUAGGUCCAUGCCAGUGAUAGCAUCACCUUCCAUCCAUGCAGGUUUUAUUCUAAGAGAUUUAUUGAGGUCCUGCUGUGUGCUGGGCCACGUGUAAAAAAAUUUAUAGCCUCUGCUGCUCUGGGGUCACCAGGCAUGUAAAAUCCGUGGCAGGCAGGAGAGACAUGGCCACUGUGCAUCUUUUGGCUUCGAUGGACUUGAUUUUGCCUCAUCUUUACCCUCUAAGCUACCUACUCCUUGGUCUCCAGACAUCCUUCCCAGCCCCAUCUAAGUUCCUGGAGACCCACUUCUCAUCAAGCCUCCAGACCUGAAAUAAAGUGUCCCACAUCAGGACAGAGGGUCCCUGAUUUUACCUCCAGAGUGGCUGCCUCUCUCCUGUGUGUUCCUAGGGGAACCCCACUUUCCAGAUGCUCUGCCAGACAGGCCGGGCUGUGUCCCUCUGCUUGGGACUCACUGUUUGUCCUCCAAGGACUGGCCACUGAGCCAGUGCUUGGCUGGAGAUAGAGCUCUUUCUUUGUUUGCUGCCUGCCUGACGAUUUAUUUCUGAGGCUCAAGGGAGGCUCAGCCAUUUUGCCAGGGCUGCUCUGGGAAAAGGUCUGUCCCACUCCCCCAGGGACUCCCACUUCUAAGGGCAAGUUCUUUUUCCCCUUCUCUGCCUUGGAGAGGGUCUGUGCCUGCCCCAACCAGACCCUGAUCUGGAGCCGGGUCAGUCCUUCCCAAUGUGCUCCAAAGAUAAAGAGAUAACAUGC